This 164-nucleotide ribosomal RNA is filed under the name Athertonia diversifolia. RNAcentral describes it as "5.8S ribosomal RNA". It matches the Rfam family "5.8S ribosomal RNA". From Rfam's summary of the family: 5.8S ribosomal RNA (5.8S rRNA) is a component of the large subunit of the eukaryotic ribosome. It is transcribed by RNA polymerase I as part of the 45S precursor that also contains 18S and 28S rRNA. Functionally, it is thought that 5.8S rRNA may be involved in ribosome translocation. The record is from RNAcentral. Lineage: Eukaryota; Viridiplantae; Streptophyta; Magnoliopsida; Proteales; Proteaceae.
CUAACGACUCUCGGCAACGGAUAUCUCGGCUCUCGCAUCGAUGAAGAACGUAGCGAAAUGCGAUACUUGGUGUGAAUUGCAGAAUCCCGUGAACCAUCGAGUCUUUGAACGCAAGUUGCGCCCAAGGCCAUCAGGCCGAGGGCACGCCUGCCUGGGCGUCACGC